Molecule: ribosomal RNA, 253 nt
Filed under: uncultured bacterium
Lineage: Bacteria
Description: partial 16S ribosomal RNA
Rfam family: Bacterial small subunit ribosomal RNA
Source: RNAcentral
UACGAAGGGGGCUAGCGUUGUUUGGAAUCACUGGGCGUAAAGCGCACGUAGGCGGACUUUCAAGUCAGGGGUGAAAUCCCGGAGCUCAACUUCGGAAUUGCCUUUGAUACUGUAGGUCUCGAGUCCGGAAGAGGUGGGUGGAAUUCCUAGUGUAGAGGUGAAAUUCGUAGAUAUUAGGAAGAACACCGGUGGCGAAGGCGGCCCACUGGUCCGGUACUGACGCUGAGGUGCGAAAGCGUGGGGAGCAAACAGG